RNAcentral lists this ribosomal RNA (410 nucleotides) under uncultured bacterium. RNAcentral's name for it is "bacterial SSU rRNA". It matches the Rfam family "Bacterial small subunit ribosomal RNA", at positions 370 to 772 of the family's 1533-position model. The record is from RNAcentral.
AAUGGGCGAAAGCCUGAUCCAGCCAUGCCGCGUGAGUGAAGAAGGCCUUCGGGUUGUAAAGCUCUUUCGGCGGGGAAGAAAUGGCACUUUCUAAUACAGAGUGUUGAUGACGGUACCCGCAUAAGAAGCACCGGCUAACUACGUGCCAGCAGCCGCGGUAAUACGUAGGGUGCGAGCGUUAAUCGGAAUUACUGGGCGUAAAGCGUGCGCAGGCGGUUGUGUAAGUCAGAUGUGAAAUCCCCGGGCUCAACCUGGGAACUGCAUUUGAGACUGCACGGCUAGAGUGUGGCAGAGGGGGGUGGAAUUCCACGUGUAGCAGUGAAAUGCGUAGAGAUGUGGAGGAACACCGAUGGCGAAGGCAGCCCCCUGGGCCAAUACUGACGCUCAUGCACGAAAGCGUGGGGAGCAAA